This 502-nucleotide ribosomal RNA is filed under the name uncultured bacterium. RNAcentral's name for it is "bacterial SSU rRNA". It matches the Rfam family "Bacterial small subunit ribosomal RNA", at positions 903 to 1397 of the family's 1533-position model. The record is from RNAcentral.
AAAUGAAUUGACGGGGGCCCGCACAAGCGGCGGAGCAUGUUGCUUAAUUCGACGCAACGCGAAGAACCUUACCAAGGCUUGACAUCACCCGGAAACGUCCAGAGAUGGGCGCUCCCUUCGGGGCUGGGUGACAGGUGGUGCAUGGCUGUCGUCAGCUCGUGUCGUGAGAUGUUGGGUUAAGUCCCGCAACGAGCGCAACCCUCGUCCCAUGUUGCCAGCACGCCCUUUUGGGUGGUGGGGACUCAUGGGAGACUGCCGGGGUCAACUCGGAGGAAGGUGGGGAUGACGUCAAGUCAUCAUGCCCCUUAUGCCUUGGGCUGCAAACAUGCUACAAUGGCCGGUACAGUGGGUUGCGAGCCUGUGAGGGGGAGCGAAUCCCUAAAAGCCGGUCUCAGUUCGGAUUGGGGUCUGCAACUCGACCCCAUGAAGUCGGAGUCGCUAGUAAUCGCAGAUCAGCAAUGCUGCGGUGAAUACGUUCCCGGGCCUUGUACACACCGCCCGU